CCCCAGCCCUAUUUUUGUCUGUUGAAAUGUCUGGUUGUUUGAUAGCUGCAGCGGCGGCGGCAGCCGCGUGAAGUUCACUCCCCAAGCAGCAAAGAUUGAUUUCUCCUUUGAGUAGCCCAUGCUCUCCACAGAAGUAUCCUUUCCAGUUAUGUUUUGAAAGUCAUCAGACAUGCUGUUAUAAAUGAUCACUGGCGAUUACUGGAGCUGCUGCAAAAUAAUAGUGAGCAGAAGAGCAUCUGUAAUUUCCACGGCUGGUUUGCAAUCAUCACUCAAAAAUGAACCCUGUCUGAAUGGUAAGGCAAAACUUUUCCUCCACCACUCCUCCGCCUCUUCCCUCACUCCUCUGUUUUUCUGUGCUCUCUAAUGUAGCUGAAAUAGAUACAGCCUCACAUGAAUUUUUAUGCAGAACUCCAGGCAAACCACUGCAGAACUAUCUCUCUGUGUGUGACGUUCAGGACAUCUUUAGGAGUGAAAAGGUGAAGCUUCUAUGUGCAACUCCAAGGUGGGUUUUGGCUAUUGCCCAAGUGUUGCCCAACUUCUGUGUUGUUCAUGUUGUGACCCCAAGGAAGGACUGCUCUGUGACUGACAGAAUCUGAGUUCUUCCACAAGGCUUCAGGCACCAUGAGCCAAGGAGACAGGCGGAGGCAGGGUUCUUUGGUAUUUGCAAAGAAGCUGAAGCCACACAGUCCAUAAUAUUAAAGGCAAAACCCUACCUAGCUGGGCAGGACAAGCUGGAGAACAGACCAGGAAGGAACAUCAGGAAGCAAGUAAAUAUCUGGCAGGGAGGAAGAAAAACAACAGCCUGGAGUGGGAUUAGCUUGCUUUGAUCACAUGACUCCCUAACUCAGAUCACAUGACUCUGAAAUGCAGGUUCUGGCUCCCGCCAGCUGUUGCCUAUCUUGAAAUAUGGAACACUAAUAUCAGGAGCAGGGAAAUAGCAUCUGGCCUGCCAGGGUUGCAAGUUUGAACCUUGUGGCAUCUCAGUUAUUGUUCAAGCUAGACUUCAUGCAGGUUGUUGCUUGGAGCUUUUCAAACUGUUGAGGCAUUCUGGUGGGCAUUAGAGAAGUAGGCUUCAAUAUUUUCAGUGAAGGUGUGGCAUAAGCUAUACAGAUAUCAACAACUUCACUGGUGAUGAAUUUAAGCUAACAUCUUAUGGAGUCAUCACUGAAUUUUGGGUGGUAAAGGUAAAGGGACCCCUGACCAUUAGGUCCAGUCGCAGACGACUCUGGGGUUCUGGUGCUCAUCUCGCUUUAUUGGCUGAGGGAGCCAGUGUACAGCUUCCGGAUCAUGUGGCCAGCAUGACUAAGCCGCUUCUGGCGAAACCAGAGCAGCGCACGGAAACACCAUUUACCUUCCCACCGGAGCAGUACCUAUUUAUUUACUUGCACUUUGACGUGCUUUCGAACUGCUAGGUUGGCAGGAGCUGGGACUGAGCAACGGGAGCUCACCCCGUUGCGCAGAUUCGAACCGCCGACCUUCUGAUCAGCAAGUCCUAGGCUCUGUGGUUUAACCCACAGUGCCACCCAUGUCCCAAUUUCGGGUCGUAGUGAAUACAAUUCAGGUUUUAUGUUGUGGGUUCGCGGCUUUUAAAAAUGUUGUUGGGCAAUCAGAAACCUGAGAUGCUUUCAACAAUCCUAUCCAUGAAACAUGCUCAACAUGUAAAGCACUGUAUAUUCCGGUACAAUGUCUUUUUUUUUUGCAGAAAACCGCAUUCUCAAUAGUAUUAUCAUUAUUUUUGUACCAAACCACUUGUAUUCUCACAAUUUAACCUUUUGCACCAGAGAUUUAGGAAUAACAUUGUGGCUGGCGGCAGCAGUGUGGGGAGGAAGAAGAAUGCCCUGCCCUCCCUGUUUCAGAGCUCAUGCAGUCAUUCCACAGGAGCAGAUUAUAAGAAGAUGUUGUACCACUGGAUAAUAGCCAACAAAGCCCUACUCAGAGUAGACCCAUUGAAAUUAAUGAACCUAAGUUAGGCAAGUGGAUCUACUCUGAGUUCUGCAUUGGUCACAUCUCAUCUGGAAUACUGUGUCCAGUUAUGUGGACAGUGUAUUAUGAGGACAUCAGCGAAUUGGAAUGCAUCCACAGGAGGGGAAACAAAGAUGGUGAAUGUCCUGGGUAUGUUUAGCCCACAGAAUAAAUGGUUAACAAUCCUCACAUAUUUGGAGGUCUGCCAUGUAGAUGAUGUUGCUCCAGAGGGGAGAACCUAACCCAGUGUUUCAAAUGACAAUGAAUGCUCUUUAAACAUACAACUGUAAGGUUUAUUUGUAAUUUAAUAUUGAAUGGAUAAACUGUGGGCCUUUGGAUCUUGUUGAAUCUUGACCCUCACUGAAAUCUCUUCCCCCUCCCCUGCCACUAAGGGAAUCAGAAAUGACAUCACAUCAUAUUGAUUCCUCUUCGGACUCAGUGAGACAGUGUUUGUCUUCAUUACAGAAGCUCUGCCGUUAAUGGUGAAGCUAUCCUGGAAGUCCAAUCAGAGGUAGAGUCGGAAGCGAAAAAGUUAAGAGCGAACACAGUCUAAGGGGAAAUAUUUUGAUAAGUGCUGAACCGUAAUGCCUUUGGAUGGUCUUACAACCAGUUGGCUCAUUGGUAUGAGUUUGUGAAGUUCAUUCUUGAUCCAGAUCAAUAAAUCUUGAACCAACUGAGUUUUUAUAAUAGAACUCAUUGAAGAAGAAAACUCCACGGAUUUGAUUGCUUUCCCCAGCUUUUGAAACGUAAAGAACAAACGCAGCACUG
Molecule: non-coding RNA, 2730 nt
Organism: Podarcis lilfordi (Lilford's wall lizard)
Lineage: Eukaryota; Metazoa; Chordata; Lepidosauria; Squamata; Lacertidae
Source: the annotation of a GenBank genome assembly